AUUGAACGCUGGCGGCAUGCCUUACACAUGCAAGUCGAACGGCAGCACGGAGCUUGCUCUGGUGGCGAGUGGCGAACGGGUGAGUAAUAUAUCGGAACGUACCCUAGAGUGGGGGAUAACGUAGCGAAAGUUACGCUAAUACCGCAUACGAUCUAAGGAUGAAAGUGGGGGAUCGCAAGACCUCAUGCUCGUGGAGCGGCCGAUAUCUGAUUAGCUAGUUGGUAGGGUAAAAGCCUACCAAGGCAUCGAUCAGUAGCUGGUCUGAGAGGACGACCAGCCACACUGGAACUGAGACACGGUCCAGACUCCUACGGGAGGCAGCAGUGGGGAAUUUUGGACAAUGGGCGAAAGCCUGAUCCAGCAAUGCCGCGUGAGUGAAGAAGGCCUUCGGGUUGUAAAGCUCUUUUGUCAGGGAAGAAACGGUGGGAGCUAAUAUCUCUUGCUAAUGACGGUACCUGAAGAAUAAGCACCGGCUAACUACGUGCCAGCAGCCGCGGUAAUACGUAGGGUGCAAGCGUUAAUCGGAAUUACUGGGCGUAAAGCGUGCGCAGGCGGUUUUGUAAGUCUGAUGUGAAAUCCCCGGGCUCAACCUGGGAAUUGCAUUGGAGACUGCAAGGCUAGAAUCUGGCAGAGGGGGGUAGAAUUCCACGUGUAGCAGUGAAAUGCGUAGAUAUGUGGAGGAACACCGAUGGCGAAGGCAGCCCCCUGGGUCAAGAUUGACGCUCAUGCACGAAAGCGUGGGGAGCAAACAGGAUUAGAUACCCUGGUAGUCCACGCCCUAAACGAUGUCUACUAGUUGUCGGGUCUUAAUUGACUUGGUAACGCGGCUAACGCGUGAAGUAGACCGCCUGGGGAGUACGGUCGCAAGAUUAAAACUCAAAGGAAUUGACGGGGACCCGCACAAGCGGUGGAUGAUGUGGAUUAAUUCGAUGCAACGCGAAAAACCUUACCUACCCUUGACAUGGCUGGAAUCCUUGAGAGAUCAGGGAGUGCUCGAAAGAGAACCAGUACACAGGUGCUGCAUGGCUGUCGUCAGCUCGUGUCGUGAGAUGUUGGGUUAAGUCCCGCAACGAGCGCAACCCUUGUCAUUAGUUGCUACGAAAGGGCACUCUAAUGAGACUGCCGGUGACAAACCGGAGGAAGGUGGGGAUGACGUCAAGUCCUCAUGGCCCUUAUGGGUAGGGCUUCACACGUCAUACAAUGGUACAUACAGAGCGCCGCCAACCCGCGAGGGGGAGCUAAUCGCAGAAAGUGUAUCGUAGUCCGGAUUGUAGUCUGCAACUCGACUGCAUGAAGUUGGAAUCGCUAGUAAUCGCGGAUCAGCAUGUCGCGGUGAAUACGUUCCCGGGUCU
RNAcentral lists this ribosomal RNA (1352 nucleotides) under uncultured bacterium. RNAcentral's name for it is "bacterial SSU rRNA". It matches the Rfam family "Bacterial small subunit ribosomal RNA", at positions 28 to 1381 of the family's 1533-position model. The record is from RNAcentral.